GACGAACGCUGGCGGCGUGCCUAAUACAUGCAAGUCGAACGCACUCUCGUUUAGAUUGAAGGAGCUUGCUCCUGAUUGAUAAACAUUUGAGUGAGUGGCGGACGGGUGAGUAACACGUGGGUAACCUGCCCUAAAGUGGGGGAUAACAUUUGGAAACAGAUGCUAAUACCGCAUAAAACCUAAACACCGCAUGGUGUAGGGUUGAAAGAUGGUUUCGGCUAUCACUUUAGGAUGGACCCGCGGCGCAUUAGUUAGUUGGUGAGGUAAAGGCUCACCAAGACCGUGAUGCAUAGCCGACCUGAGAGGGUAAUCGGCCACACUGGGACUGAGACACGGCCCAGACUCCUACGGGAGGCAGCAGUAGGGAAUCUUCCACAAUGGACGAAAGUCUGAUGGAGCAACGCCGCGUGAGUGAAGAAGGUUUCGGAUCGUAAAACUCUGUGUUGGAGAAGAAUGUAUCUGAUAGUAACUGAUCAGGUAGUGACGGUAUCCAGCC
This 496-nucleotide ribosomal RNA is filed under the name uncultured bacterium. RNAcentral's name for it is "bacterial SSU rRNA". It matches the Rfam family "Bacterial small subunit ribosomal RNA", at positions 28 to 484 of the family's 1533-position model. The record is from RNAcentral.